RNAcentral lists this ribosomal RNA (256 nucleotides) under uncultured bacterium. Its description in RNAcentral is "partial 16S ribosomal RNA". It matches the Rfam family "Bacterial small subunit ribosomal RNA", at positions 524 to 777 of the family's 1533-position model. The record is from RNAcentral.
UACGUAGGGUGCAAGCGUUGUCCGGAAUUAUUGGGCGUAAAGAGCUCGUAGGCGGUUUGUCGCGUCUGCUGUGAAAACUCAGGGCUUAACCCUGAGCCUGCAGUGGGUACGGGCAGACUAGAGUGUGGUAGGGGGAGAUCGGAAUUCCUGGUGUAGCGGUGGAAUGCGCAGAUAUCAGGAGGAACACCGGUGGCGAAGGCGGAUCUCUGGGCCAUAACUGACGCUGGAGGAGCGAAAGCAUGGGGAGCGAACAGGA